CCUACGGGAGGCAGCAGUGGGGAAUAUUGCACAAUGGGCGCAAGCCUGAUGCAGCGACGCCGCGUGAGGGAUGACGGCCUUCGGGUUGUAAACCUCUUUCAGUAGGGAAGAAGCGAAAGUGACGGUACCUGCAGAAGAAGCGCCGGCUAACUACGUGCCAGCAGCCGCGGUAAUACGUAGGGCGCAAGCGUUAUCCGGAAUUAUUGGGCGUAAAGAGCUCGUAGGCGGUUUGUCGCGUCUGCCGUGAAAGUCCGGGGCUCAACUCCGGAUCUGCGGUGGGUACGGGCAGACUAGAGUGAUGUAGGGGAGACUGGAAUUCCUGGUGUAGCGGUGAAAUGCGCAGAUAUCAGGAGGAACACCGAUGGCGAAGGCAGGUCUCUGGGCAUUAACUGACGCUGAGGAGCGAAAGCAUGGGGAGCGAACAGGAUUAGAUACCCUGGUAGUCCAUGCCGUAAACGUUGGGCACUAGGUGUGGGGGACAUUCCACGUUUUCCGCGCCGUAGCUAACGCAUUAAGUGCCCCGCCUGGGGAGGUACGGCCGCGAGACGUAAACUACAANAGAAGUAGACGGCGNGAGACGUGCCGACGGACGACGACGAGGGAGGAGG
RNAcentral lists this ribosomal RNA (608 nucleotides) under uncultured bacterium. RNAcentral's name for it is "bacterial SSU rRNA". The stretch from base 1 to 525 matches the Rfam family "Bacterial small subunit ribosomal RNA", at positions 338 to 873 of the family's 1533-position model. The record is from RNAcentral.